AUCCGAGUGCUGAAAUUGGUAGACAGGACGAGCUUAAGUUUCGUUGACGCAAGUCGUAGAGGUUCAACUCCUCUUUCGGAUA
This 82-nucleotide transfer RNA is filed under the name Golovinomyces cichoracearum. It matches the Rfam family "tRNA". From Rfam's summary of the family: Transfer RNA (tRNA) molecules are approximately 80 nucleotides in length. Their secondary structure includes four short double-helical elements and three loops (D, anti-codon, and T loops). Further hydrogen bonds mediate the characteristic L-shaped molecular structure. tRNAs have two regions of fundamental functional importance: the anti-codon, which is responsible for specific mRNA codon recognition, and the 3' end, to which the tRNAs corresponding amino acid is attached (by aminoacyl-tRNA synthetases). tRNAs cope with the degeneracy of the genetic code in two manners: having more than one tRNA (with a specific anti-codon) for a particular amino acid; and 'wobble' base-pairing, i.e. permitting non-standard base-pairing at the 3rd anti-codon position. The record is from Rfam by way of RNAcentral. Lineage: Eukaryota; Fungi; Ascomycota; Leotiomycetes; Helotiales; Erysiphaceae.